Molecule: long non-coding RNA, 487 nt
Filed under: Physcomitrium patens
Lineage: Eukaryota; Viridiplantae; Streptophyta; Bryopsida; Funariales; Funariaceae
Description: long non-coding RNA (PPAT_LNC000810)
Source: RNAcentral
UAUAGGCUGUGAAGAAUUGAGAUAUAUGGUGAUCGAGAUCAGAGCCCGGCCAAACACUAAAAGUAGAUAAUGGUGCCACACUUGUAGUUUGAUCUCCUACUACUUCCAUUUGUACUGCAAUUGGUACUUCUGGCACUUCCGCGGCCAUUGGUGUUAUCAUUGGUCUCCUUACUAUUUCAAUCUGAAUUUUUCUUCUUUCGGUUUUUUUUGGACCUACAAUUCUUUUUUGUUGUUCCCGUAGGAUAUUUCUUAUGCGUAAUUGCUCCUGUCUUUCUUUUGCUUGUCGACUAAUUCUUUGAUAAUCCUCCCCUUCAUGAUUAUCACUUAUAAUCUUUCAUUUUUCUUUAGAAAAUCAAUAUUGCCUUGAAUUAUAACUCACAUAUUUAUAACCCUAAAAUUAAUUCUUCUCACGUUCUCAUUCAACAUAUAAUUCUAUCUCCCAUACAAUCAAUUUCUAACAUUUCAUGUUCUUAUUAUUUCCCUGGCA